This 19-nucleotide unclassified non-coding RNA is filed under the name synthetic construct. The record is from RNAcentral.
UUUGCGCUCCGUCACAUGC